This 157-nucleotide ribosomal RNA is filed under the name uncultured bacterium. Its description in RNAcentral is "partial 16S ribosomal RNA". It matches the Rfam family "Bacterial small subunit ribosomal RNA", at positions 355 to 509 of the family's 1533-position model. The record is from RNAcentral.
UGAGGAAUAUUGGUCAAUGGGCUUACGCCUGAACCAGCCAAGUCGCGUGAGGGAAGACUGCCCUAUGGGUUGUAAACCUCUUUGUCAGGGAGCAAUUGGCGCUACGUGUAGCGUUAUCGAGAGUACCUGAAGAAAAAGCAUCGGCUAACUCCGUGCC